AUGCUUCUUCCCCUGACGGACACAAGGUGGGUCCGGAGAGGAGAUUUCUCGAUCCCGUACGGAGUGCGCAGGUGGCGGAGGGAGAAGGCAAGGACGGUCGCUUUAGCGCCGUCGUCGUGCGGCGGUGCUUGGGCUGUUGGCAGCGGCGGCAUAGGAGACGGGGAAGACGCUAAUGUCCGUCAAGGCGUGCUUCGGCAACGACGCCAACGCGCUCGUCGACUGGGACGGCGGCCGCGACCACUGCCCCUGGCGGGGGUCGUCGCCUGCGACACCAACUCCUUCGCCUGGAGGAAGCUCAAAGGAAGCAAGACUUCAACAAAAAUCUCUGAAUGCAUUCCAAGCUUCUGUACGGCGUACGUCGUUUCAAAGGGCAAACUGUCAUUCGUGCACUCUUACACCUGA
RNAcentral lists this ribosomal RNA (402 nucleotides) under Triticum aestivum (bread wheat). Its description in RNAcentral is "partial small subunit ribosomal RNA". Lineage: Eukaryota; Viridiplantae; Streptophyta; Magnoliopsida; Poales; Poaceae. The record is from RNAcentral.